UUAAUAAUAAAAUCUGCUCAAUGAAAAUUAAAUAGCCGCAAUUCGUGCUAAGGUAGCAUAAUCAUUUGUCUCUCAAAUGGAGACUAGAACAAAAGAUUUAACAUUUAAAUUAAUUUAUUUAUUUUAAUAAUUAAAAUUAUCCUUAAUGUAAAAAGACAUUAAUUUCUAAAAAAGACGAUAAGACCCUAUCGAACUUAACUUUAGUUUAACUGGGGUAGUAAAUUAAUUAUUAUUUUAAUUUCAUUUAUAUAUUUGAUAUCCUUUAAAAUUGAAUUAUCCAGUUACCAUAGGGAUAACAGCAUAAUUAUAUUCAAAAGUUCUUAUAUAAAAUAUAGUUUAUGACCUCGAUGUUGAAUUAAUAACCUAAUUUUACUAAAGCAAAUUUUAAAAAAGGAAGUCUGUUCGACUUUUAAAAAAUUACAUGAUUUGAGUUCAGACCGGUAUAAGCCAGGUCGGUUUCUAUCUUUUUCAAAAAUCUUUACAGUACGAAAGGACCUAAAGAAAUAAUUAUAUUAAUAUAUUGGCAGAUAAAUGCAUUAGAAUUAGAAUCUAAUAAAACUAAAA
RNAcentral lists this ribosomal RNA (564 nucleotides) under Margaromma cf. semirasum JXZ-2013. RNAcentral describes it as "partial 16S ribosomal RNA". The stretch from base 169 to 468 matches the Rfam family "Bacterial large subunit ribosomal RNA", at positions 2074 to 2646 of the family's 2925-position model. The record is from RNAcentral. Lineage: Eukaryota; Metazoa; Arthropoda; Arachnida; Araneae; Salticidae.